RNAcentral lists this long non-coding RNA (1369 nucleotides) under Heterocephalus glaber (naked mole-rat). RNAcentral describes it as "lncRNA (ENSHGLG00000032008.1)". The record is from RNAcentral. Lineage: Eukaryota; Metazoa; Chordata; Mammalia; Rodentia; Bathyergidae.
GGGCUCCCGGCGGGCUGAGUGGGGACGCACUCUGGCGGCCGGCCGCAGAGUCAGCCCAGUGGAGCAGGGGGCAUAAAGUGAUGGGCGACGCACAGGGCGCCCCAGAGCCCAGUGCCGGCCCUGGUCCCCUCAAGCACCGCCCAGGUUGCCGCCUCUCCUCCCUGCCCCACUCAGAUGGAUCGCGGUGAGACCCGCCCAGGCAGCCCGUAACAGUGCCCCCCCCCCCCGUCCCCCAGUACACUCCUGCCUCUAUUUCUGAGACUUGCCAGAGAUGCCCCAAAAUGCGACUUGGUCAUAGAGCCACAAGGAUGGACAUCCCCUCCCCAGCUGCUCUUCAUGGCCGCCUCUUUCACUACCCACAGCCCUCUCCCACCUCAGGACCUUUAAUAGUGUCUUCCUGCCCUCAGAAUGGAGUAAUCCCGCCGACUCCAAACCCAGCCAUAGUGGUUGUCCAGAUUGGCCAAUCGGACCACCUUCAACAUUUCCACCCAGCACCCAGGGGAGUCUUCCAGAGGAAACUGACGCUCACCAAGAGGAAAUGUAAAGAGACAGCUUUGCCAUUCCUCAGCCAAGACCCCAGUCAGUCUCUCCAGAGGGAAGCCCCAGCACAAGCCCACCCAGCCCCAAGCUGCCUCCCUCGAGCUCAUUUGAGCCCUUCAGACAACCCUGAAGAGAAAACCCAACAAGACAACCACCAGGGUAGGGGCAGGUGAGGGGGGAUCUUUGAAGAAACAGACUUAGGCAAGGAGGAGAAAAUAUCAGAAAUAGCCGUAUUUAAUAUCCUCGAAGAGAUCAGAGGAGAUAUUGCAUCCCAGAACCAAGAGCAGGAUGCUAUUUUAAGGAGAACAUUUAGAGAACAAAAAGGGCUGGGAAAUUAAAAGCAUGAGAGCCGAAACAAAAAAAAAAAAAACUCAACAGACUGGUUGGAAGAUAAAAGUAAGCGAAUGUCCCAGAAGGCACAGCAAAAAGACAAAGAGGAAAAAAGAAAGAAAGGAGGAAAAAUUAGAUGCCACAUUCAAACUACACAAAAGAAUUCUGGGGCGGCGGGCUGGGGGUGAAUGAGAAUCACAAACUAUUUAAUUCAAGAAAUGUUCCCAGAAAUGAGAAUGAGUUUUCAAAUUCUACACACAAUGGAUGGAAAUUGACCCACAUCAAGGCAUAUUAUAAUAGAAAAUAGAGAAAGUUCCCUCAGGUUUCCAAGCACUAUGAAAAAGAGCAAGGGUGAGAGUGACUCCUGAAUUUUCAACAGCAACAGCAGGGCAAGCUAACAAACAACACAGUAUGCCUUCAAAACGCCAACAGAUAGUGAUUUCUGGCCUAGAAUCUUUUACUUAAUCAAAACGACAAUAAAAUGUGAAUUAAAAUAAAG